This 562-nucleotide ribosomal RNA is filed under the name uncultured bacterium. RNAcentral describes it as "bacterial SSU rRNA". It matches the Rfam family "Bacterial small subunit ribosomal RNA", at positions 338 to 917 of the family's 1533-position model. The record is from RNAcentral.
CCUACGGGAGGCAGCAGUGGGGAAUAUUGGACAAUGGGCGAAAGCCUGAUCCAGCAAUGCCGCGUGAGUGAUGAAGGCCUUCGGGUCGUAAAGCUCUUUUACCAGGGAUGAUAACGACAGUACCUGGAGAAUAAGCUCCGGCUAACUCCGUGCCAGCAGCCGCGGUAAUACGGAGGGAGCUAGCGUUGUUCGGAAUUACUGGGCGUAAAGAGUACGUAGGCGGUUAUUCAAGUCAGAGGUGAAAGCCCGGGGCUCAACCCCGGAACUGCCUUUGAAACUAGAUAACUAGAGUCUUGGAGAGGUUAGUGGAAUUCCGAGUGUAGAGGUGAAAUUCGUAGAUAUUCGGAAGAACACCAGUGGCGAAGGCGACUAACUGGACAAGUACUGACGCUGAGGUACGAAAGCGUGGGGAGCAAACAGGAUUAGAUACCCUGGUAGUCCACGCCGUAAACGAUGAUAACUAGUUGUUCGGUCACUUGGUGACUGAGUGACGCAGCUAACGCAUUAAGUUAUCCGCCUGGGGAGUACGGUCGCAAGNUUAAAACUCAAAUGAAUUGACCGG